GAUGAACGCUGGCGGCGUGCCUAAUACAUGCAAGUCGAGCGAACGGACGAGAAGCUUGCUUCUCUGAUGUUAGCGGCGGACGGGUGAGUAACACGUGGAUAACCUACCUAUCAGACUGGGAUAACUUCGGGAAACCGUAGCUAAUACCGGAUAAUAUUUUGAACCGCAUGGUUCAAAAGUGAAAGACGGUCUUGCUUUCACUUAUAGAUGGAUCCGCGCUGCAUUAGCUAGUUGGUAAGGUAACGGCUUACCAAGGCAGCGAUGCAUAGCCGACCUGAGAGGGGGGUCGGCGACCCCAGAACGGAGACGAGGCGCAGACGACUACGGGAGGCAGCAGUAGUGAAUCUUCCGCAAUAGGCGGAAGCCUGACGGAGCAACGCCGCGUGAGGGGGGAAGGUCUUCGGAGCGUAAAACUCUGUUAUUAGGGAAGAACAUAUGUGGAAGUGACUGUGGGCAGCUUGACGGUACCUAGUCAGAAAGCCACGGCUAACUACGUG
RNAcentral lists this ribosomal RNA (497 nucleotides) under uncultured bacterium. RNAcentral's name for it is "partial 16S ribosomal RNA". It matches the Rfam family "Bacterial small subunit ribosomal RNA", at positions 28 to 507 of the family's 1533-position model. The record is from RNAcentral.